CGUCUCCAGGAGAGUCGCCGCGAAUUUCCCCGGGCCCGCCUCGGCGCAACAGAUGAUCGAAGUAGAUUGGCGACUUUUACUGAGAAUUCAAGUCCCGGGCCAUCUGAUGCUUUGCAUGCAACCUUCCCUUUGGACCGAAGUUGGAUCAAAAGUGUGACGGCGGCGCGGGCAACUUAGCAGCCAGUCAAGAACUGCCUUCUGUCAUCAGACUCUCAGAAAUAUCCUUUGUAGUGCUGACCACUACUGCCACCUAUAGGACUGGAGGGAAGUCAUCUUCAUUGAGCCUUUUCCUCAAGAAUCUAAAACCUUCGGGGAAUCCCAAAUUAUGUGUGGAAUUGCCAAAGUACGGCAAACUGACCAAAACAAAUCAGAAGAAUUAUUUGCGAGAUGGGGGAAAACAUCAUUUGAAAGGAGGCGGCCAUUUUGUUGACACCUGCUGUCCACUGAUAUUGACAUCACAAUGCCCACAGUGUCGUCUUCCGGACAUCGAGUGACCAAACCCAGAAAACAGCUCUUUGGUACAUUCCUCCUCCUCACAAAAAACACACCACCCAGAGAUGGCAGCCCUGCAGCCUUCCAGGAAACCAACGCAUGAUCGCACCCGAGCUCUCUUCUUAGGCAAACACUGGGCCUGAACCACAACAGCUUCUGAAAAAGGCAAGUCGGCCAGCGCCAGAGAACGUGUUGAAUGCGUGUGUGUACGUGACAUCUGUUGGUGUGUGUGUGCCAGCGCAUGCAGCCCACAGGGGCUCAAAGGGCAGAGUUGGGCAGCCACGCUCGGCGUUUUGCGGUCCCUCCGUCAGCACAUCACAGCUUCGCGGCCUUUAAACAGGCCACAAAUCAUCAGAGGGACCACACCGAUGCGAUGGAAACCCUCCGACCCUGACAAGUUAUGUGCGAAUUGGGAAACACGAACAAACUGUUACAUUUGGAAUCGACAGCGACGUUGCUACAUAAACAAGCUUCUGUACACUUUUAACCGGAUUGCAAAAAACCGGGCUCGGGGAAGGAAAAAAAAAAAAAAUGAAAUUAGCUAUGUAUUUCUUAAUCCAAGCAAAAUUAUCGGUGAGCCGAAACGGAGCCACAUCACAGAAGCGCCGCAGUGGGAGUGUUGAUGUGCUCUCGGAUGGGUUCCGGGUGAGCGGCCGUGGUUUCACGGGUGCUGCGUGCAAGUGAAUACACACUGACAGAUGUCUCGCACACUUUGGGAUUAUUGCAAAAGAAUGUAAAAGGGGAUGACUGCGGCUGUGACUGUGACUCACACGCUCCAGAUUACAAAGGAGCCAACACGCAUGCAAACACAUGCUGGACCAAAGGUUGGAUACGUUUGCACCGCUUUAAGUCGUGGACGUGCCCAUUGAGAAUGUCGACUCCACCGAAACAAAACACUCCUCUGUUUCUUCUGAUCAUGUCUUUCCUUUCACCCCGACUUGUCUUUCUUCUCCACCUCAACACCCCCCACCUGGUUCAUUGCAUCAAAGUGGCCAUGGCAACACUCCAAAACGGUGGAUGAGUCAACAAUGAGCUGUUUGCUUUCCACCCUCUCUGGCGAGCAGAGGUUGUGGCCAUGAGGGAGCUGGAUGAGAUAGUAGAGGAGGGGAGUCACUUAUCUUUUCCUAUCAAAUUCAGACUGCACGAACAACUGGGCAACGCUUCAAAUUUGUUUGGGUCAUUUGGAAGCAAACAGCAGCCAGGUUGAGGGGUAAGAUUAUUUUUGCUCUAAUGCAUUUUGUCUGUCUUCAUGGCUCAACUGAUUUUUGCUCAGGGAAAAUACUCCCAAUGCUUCAUUUUUUUUUUUCCCCCCAGAAGUUAUUGCAAGGAAUCUGACACAACUUGCUGCCUUGGCAACAGAGCUCAAAUAUAAUCAACGACGUGCAGUACGGGUGUCGGAACACUCCCAAAUACUCACACACACAAACACAGCAUGCGGCUAAAACUAUUAUUAGGCUGUGUAUAGUCGCUUGUGUAAAAACAGCAUCAUUUACAGUUGCCCGUCAUCUGCCAAGUGCGAGGACACGGCCUGAACCGUGAAAAAAAAAAAAAGGAAGCCAUGUGACGUAUGGAUCGCCAGAUGUAGGAAAAUGGAAAUCAUCUCACUGUGGGGACCAGCAAACUUUUGAAGCGUCAGUCCAACACUAGCAAUAACAAACCGAAAGUGCAAAUGUGUCAGAUUUUUGUCAUUGAUCUUAAACUUAACUUCAAACUUUGGUCGGACCUCACUUCUCAACAGCCUAUAAAUCUACACUCGUAUGCGUGUUGAGAGAGCAAUGAAGGCAAUUACCGCUGCGAUUUCCACAUAAGUGAGUCGUCCGAUUUGUCAGCUCGGUUUGGAGAAGGCAUUGAGAAAAAUGGACUUGCGCUCAAAGAAAAUGUUGUUACUCAAACGUACAUUGAGCGAAACCCGACGCCUAAA
Molecule: long non-coding RNA, 2413 nt
Organism: Syngnathus acus (greater pipefish)
Lineage: Eukaryota; Metazoa; Chordata; Actinopteri; Syngnathiformes; Syngnathidae
Exons: 8
Source: RefSeq, a predicted model, not a curated record